Molecule: ribosomal RNA, 375 nt
Filed under: uncultured bacterium
Lineage: Bacteria
Description: bacterial SSU rRNA
Rfam family: Bacterial small subunit ribosomal RNA
Source: RNAcentral
AUACGUAGGGAGCGAGCGUUGUCCGGAAUUACUGGGCGUAAAGGGUGCGUAGGCGGUCAGGCAAGUCAGAUGUGAAAUCCCCGGGCUUAACUCGGGUGGUGCAUUUGAAACUGCUUGACUUGAGUGCAGGAGAGGAAAGCGGAAUUCCUAGUGUAGCGGUGAAAUGCGUAGAUAUUAGGAGGAACACCAGUGGCGAAGGCGGCUUUCUGGACUGUAACUGACGCUGAGGCACGAAAGCGUGGGGAGCAAACAGGAUUAGAUACCCUGGUAGUCCACGCUGUAAACGAUGGAUACUAGGUGUGGGGGAGAUACAACCUCCGUGCCGCAGCAAACGCAAUAAGUAUCCCGCCUGGGGAGUACGGUCGCAAGGCUGAA